Molecule: long non-coding RNA, 629 nt
Organism: Tupaia belangeri chinensis (Chinese tree shrew)
Lineage: Eukaryota; Metazoa; Chordata; Mammalia; Scandentia; Tupaiidae
Exons: 3
Source: RefSeq, a predicted model, not a curated record
UCCCUCAAUACAAUAAACCAAGCCCCGCCUCCUAAAACCUGCCUCUCACAACCGCUCACUUCCGGAAGCAUUAACCAGAAAGGGAAACAGACAGAAGGUCAUGACUCAGCUUCAGCAGAGGGACAGAUGCAGCAUGCCAGAUUCUCUCCCUUAGUCCAAUGCCUCCCUUGGAGAUCUUAUAAGCUGCUGCCCAGGACCCCAGGCUGGAGCAAGAAGACAAACAGCUCCAGAGAAGGGUAGACAGCACUGGCAGGUCCAGCAGCUACAACUCAGGGGACAAAGGACUUAGCACAAGGCGACCAGCAACACCUUCCAGACAUGCAGGCACUUCGGAAAAGCCCAGUCCUCUGAACCUGCCAUUUUCCUGUACUCCCAAACUGAUGCCUGCUGAGAAGAAAAUGCCAGUCACAGAGCCAGCUGGUAGCACAAUGGUACCUCAAUACACUGCAAUGCUGGAUCCACAAAGGAAAGGUCUGGGGUUCACAUCCUAGGGCCUCCCUGCACACACCGGGCGCGUGGAUGUGCCCAUGAUCAUGGCUGGUUGAGGCUGAGGUUGGGUUGUGUCAUGAAGACCUUGUCGGGGGCAUCUCUCUUUCUCUCUUCCUCUCUCAAUAAAUAAAUACAUUUAA